GGCUCCAGGGCGGCCGCUGAUUGGCUGCUGAAGGCUUGGUCCCAUCCCAGUGACCCCAAAGUGCUGGAGGGAGGGGGCGGGGGUGGCCCAGUGCAAAGUGCAUCCUGAAAGCCCCCCGCUUGGUGCCCUCGCAGCUGGUACCGAGGACCCUACCCAAGCCGAGACCUCGCUGCCCCGACAGCUCCCGUGUCCUCGCCUCGGAGCUGGGAGCCUCCGGCCCGGACCGCGGCAGCCCCUCUGCUCGGAGCCUUCAGACCGGGACCCCCCCCCCCGUUCCCGCCCGUCCCCGAGCCGGGACUUCCUCCCUGCACCCCUGCCCCGAGGCUGCCCCGCGGCCGGGACCGCCGCCUAGCGUCUGUGGAUGCUCGCCGGGCUGGGGCCGGGAGGCUCGGAGGAGGCUCCGGAACCCCCGUGUCCGGCCCUGCCCGAGGCAUUUCUUCAAUGGAGAAGUUGGUGAGUGUGGAGGAGGCUGAGAGGAGGAAGCGCCGCAGCAGCUGAAGAGACAGGUUUGGUGUUUGGCUCCCGGAGCCUGGAAAGCAAGAGGAGGCCUGCUCACCCACCUGGGAAGUAGCCGAGAGCUUCUAGCAGUAGCAUCCUCCGUGCAGGUGAAGGAAGCGAUCCAUCAU
Myotis davidii is the source of this 626-nucleotide long non-coding RNA. RefSeq lists it as uncharacterized. The transcript has 3 exons. NCBI's taxonomy places the organism in Eukaryota, Metazoa, Chordata, Mammalia, Chiroptera, Vespertilionidae. The record is from RefSeq and is a predicted model, not a curated record.